This 460-nucleotide ribosomal RNA is filed under the name uncultured bacterium. RNAcentral describes it as "partial 16S ribosomal RNA". It matches the Rfam family "Bacterial small subunit ribosomal RNA", at positions 338 to 795 of the family's 1533-position model. The record is from RNAcentral.
CCUACGGGUGGCAGCAGUGAGGAAUAUUGGUCAAUGGGCGCGAGCCUGAACCAGCCAAGUAGCGUGAAGGAUGACUGCCCUGCGUGUUGUAAACUUCUUUUGUAAAGGAAUAAAGUGAGGCACUAGUGCCCUGUUGUGGGUACUUUAUGAAUAAGCAUCGGCUAACUCCGUGCCAGCAGCCGCGGUAAUACGGAGGAUCCGAGCGUUAUCCGGAUUUAUUGGGUUUAAAGGGAGCGUAGAUGGGUUGUUAAGUCAGUUGUGAAAGUUUGGGGCUCAACCGUCAGAGUGCAAUUGAUACUGGCAGCCUUGAGUACAGGUGAGGUAGGCGGAAUUCGUGGUGUAGCGGUGAAAUGCUUAGAUAUCACGCAGAACUCCGAUUGCGAAGGCAGCGUACUAGACUGACACUGACAUUGAUGCUCGAAAGUGUGGGUAUCAAACAGGAUUAGAUACCCUUGUAGUC